RNAcentral lists this ribosomal RNA (354 nucleotides) under uncultured organism. RNAcentral's name for it is "bacterial LSU rRNA". It matches the Rfam family "Bacterial large subunit ribosomal RNA", at positions 2099 to 2465 of the family's 2925-position model. The record is from RNAcentral.
CUUUACUGUAGCUUGGAAUUGGGUUCGGGCUUUGCUUGCGCAGGAUAGGUGGGAGGCAUUGAAGUAUCCCUUGUGGGGGAUAUGGAGCCAACGGUGAGAUACCACUCUCUCGAAGCUAGAACUCUAACUCGAAUAGAGGACAGUUUCAGGUGGGUAGUUUGACUGGAGCGGUCGCCUCCAAAAAGGUAACGGAGGCGUACAAAGGUUACCUCAGACUGGUUGGAAAUCAGUCGUAGAGUGCAAAGGCAGAAGGUAGCUUGACUGUGAGACGAACAGGUCAAACAGGGUGGAAACACGGUCUUAGUGAUCCGACGGUGCUGUGUGGAAGGGCCGUCGCUCAACGGAUGAAAGUUA